GGAUGCGAGGGCGAUCUGGCUGCGACCUCUGUCACCCCACUGAGCGCCAGGGUUGAUCCUGCUGACCUGGCUGGCCGGACGGGUGUCGCCUUCCUCCCUCAGCACUCCGUGUGCGGCCCUCCUGAAGCCGAAGCCGCGCGCUCAGUGGAGGAGGACAACCACUCCCGAUAGAGGAGGACUGUUUCCUCGCUCAAGGGUACAGGAGGAGCUGCGCUCCCCUGCUAGAAGCUCCAGACAAGCUGUCAAAAUGUUUGGGGCCAAGACUAGAGAGGAAUUCAUUUAUGUUUCAUAUACAUGCUUUACAUUGCCUGAAGGUACAU
This 320-nucleotide small nuclear RNA is filed under the name Heterocephalus glaber (naked mole-rat). RNAcentral's name for it is "7SK RNA". It matches the Rfam family "7SK RNA". From Rfam's summary of the family: 7SK was discovered as an abundant small nuclear RNA in the mid-70s but a possible function has only recently been suggested. Two independent studies have found that 7SK RNA binds the CDK9/cyclin T complex (known as elongation factor P-TEFb). The record is from Rfam by way of RNAcentral. Lineage: Eukaryota; Metazoa; Chordata; Mammalia; Rodentia; Bathyergidae.